RNAcentral lists this long non-coding RNA (490 nucleotides) under Erythranthe guttata (spotted monkey flower). Its description in RNAcentral is "long non-coding RNA (EGUT_LNC001008)". The record is from RNAcentral. Lineage: Eukaryota; Viridiplantae; Streptophyta; Magnoliopsida; Lamiales; Phrymaceae.
GGCCAUAGACAUCUAUAGACACCCAUAGGAUACCACAGAAGACCAUAGUAAACCGCAGACAUCUCUGACCCCAUAUUCUUGAAACCCUAACUCCUCAUUUGAACCCUAGCCGUCAGACACUCAUAGUAACUCAUAGACAACUGCGGAAAUCAAAUCGAAAAAUUUUGAAUCUUCCAAACCAAACCCUAGAUCCACCCCUCCAAACCCUAGAUCUGUGACGACAAGGUCACCCACUCCCAUCCACGCCACCAUCGCCAACCCCACACACUCUGCCGUCGCCUACCCCAGCAUCACCGCACCACCAGCAUCAUCCUCGAACCUCGAGCGUGCCGCUGGGACAACAACCCAGCACCGCGCCACCACAACGCCUCCUCCCACCGUUGUAGCUUUCUUACCGUCAUAGUUAUUUUACAUUGGGCAGCCGCCUCCACCGCCGUGGUCGUCGCCAUAGCCACCACCUUCCUCAAUCAUGGAGUGGUGGCGAGAGAAA